RNAcentral lists this ribosomal RNA (375 nucleotides) under uncultured organism. Its description in RNAcentral is "partial 16S ribosomal RNA". It matches the Rfam family "Bacterial small subunit ribosomal RNA", at positions 527 to 896 of the family's 1533-position model. The record is from RNAcentral.
GUAGGUGGCAAGCGUUGUCCGGGAAUUAUUGGGGCGUAAAGCGCGCGCAGGCGGUUCUUUAAGUCUGAUGUGAAAGCCCACGGGCUCAACCGUGGAGGGUCAUUGGAAACUGGAGAACUUGAGUACAGAAGAGGAAAGCGGAAUUCCACGUGUAGCGGUGAAAUGCGUAGAGAUGUGGAGGAACACCAGUGGCGAAGGCGGCUUUCUGGUCUGUAACUGACGCUGAGGCGCGAAAGCGUGGGGAGCAAACAGGAUUAGAUACCCUGGUAGUCCACGCCGUAAACGAUGAGUGCUAAGUGUUAGGGGGUUUCAGCCCCUUAGUGCUGCAGCUAACGCAUUAAGCACUCCGCCUGGGGAGUACGGCCGCAAAGGCUG